Molecule: ribosomal RNA, 371 nt
Filed under: Acyrthosiphon pisum (pea aphid)
Lineage: Eukaryota; Metazoa; Arthropoda; Insecta; Hemiptera; Aphididae
Description: partial 12S small subunit ribosomal RNA
Source: RNAcentral
UAUUUUAGUCUUAUUAGAGGAACCUGUUUUUUAAUUGAUAAUCCACGAUUAAUUUUACUUAUUUUAAAUAAUUCAUAUAUCGCUGUCAUGAAUAUAUUUAAAAAUUUAUUUUCUUUAUUUAUUAUUAUAAUUUAUGUUAAGUCAAGAUGUGGUUAAUAAAUAAGUAUAUAAUGGGUUACAUUAAAUUUUAUUUUUGGAUUUUAAAUGAAAAUUAAAAUGAAAUUGGAUUUAAUAGUAAAUUUAUUUAUUUAAUUAAUAUGAANAAAGAUCUAAAAUAUGUACAUAUUGCCCGUCAUUCUUAUUAAAAAUAAGACAAGUCGUAACAAAGUAAGUGUACUGGAAAGUGUAUUUAGAAAGAUAUUUAAUAUAAA